Molecule: ribosomal RNA, 429 nt
Filed under: Chloroflexota bacterium
Lineage: Bacteria; Bacillati; Chloroflexota
Description: Chloroflexi bacterium partial 16S ribosomal RNA
Rfam family: Bacterial small subunit ribosomal RNA
Source: RNAcentral
UAGGGAAUCUUCGGCAAUGGACGAAAGUCUGACCGAGCAACGCCGCGUGAGUGAAGAAGGUUUUCGGAUCGUAAAACUCUGUUGUUAGAGAAGAACAAGGACGUUAGUAACUGAACGUCCCCUGACGGUAUCUAACCAGAAAGCCACGGCUAACUACGUGCCAGCAGCCGCGGUAAUACGUAGGUGGCAAGCGUUGUCCGGAUUUGUUGGGCGUAAAGCGAGCGCAGGCGGUUUCUUAAGUCUGAUGUGAAAGCCCCCGGCUCAACCGGGGAGGGUCAUUGGAAACUGGGAGACUUGAGUGCAGAAGAGGAGAGUGGAAUUCCAUGUGUAGCGGUGAAAUGCGUAGAGAUCUGGAGGAAUACCGGUGGCGAAGGCGGCCCCCUGGACGAAGACUGACGCUCAGGUGCGAAAGCGUGGGGAGCAAACAGG